Molecule: long non-coding RNA, 3942 nt
Organism: Xiphophorus hellerii (green swordtail)
Lineage: Eukaryota; Metazoa; Chordata; Actinopteri; Cyprinodontiformes; Poeciliidae
Exons: 2
Source: RefSeq, a predicted model, not a curated record
AUUGAGCCAAAAGAGCCAACAAGUCCAAGAAAAACGUGUCCAGCGAGUUAGUAGGAAAAUGACAGCGUCUGUUUGUGUAGCACUGUUUUAGCACUAACAGUAGUUCACCCUGAGUGUUGAAAUGGUGAAAGCACUGCGUAAGGAAAGCGAAAUUCUGAGCAGAUUGUUUUUGCUUUUUUUUUUGUCUAUUCUGCUGAAGUUGUUAAAGUUUAAAUACAGUCACUGUUGUAUUAUUGUUAGUUUUUCAUGAUGGAUUGAGUUUUUCUUUAUUCUGGGAUAGCAUGAUAACUCAACAAGUAACUUAAAAAAACAAAAACAAAGCAAAAUAAAUUUGAACUUGCGAACUAAUUAGAAUUUACUGUGAAUUAUCUCUAAAUCAGACCGGGUCAAAUUAUUGCAGAGCUCCUACACAGUCUUGAAAUCUGGAAAAUAAUUAAAUGUUUUGCAUGAAUAUGGAAAAAAAAAUUUUAGUAGUUACGGAAUAAUGCUUUAUUUCCCAGAAUUUGUUGCUUAUUCUACUUUCUUCCAUGUUUAAAAGAAAAAAGUCUAAUAGUACUCAACAAAUAUGGUGGUGUUUUUUGACAUUGUUUCCUAUUAAAAUGUUUUGCUUCAUCUUUAUGUUGCCAAAUUACACCUUGAUUCUAACAAUUUACCCAUCAGUAGUGAAUCGCAAAUUGAAUGCCUUCAGAAAUGGGGACGCACAGAUAAAAAUCGACCGGCUGAUAAAUGGACUCUGGUUUCCUUCAUUUUGGGAGAUCGGCGAUAAUCUGAUACUUGAAUUGGAAACUGAUCUAAUCUGCCUCUGCAAAGGUCUGAAAAUCCACCACCGUCCUUUUAUCUCCGCUGUUAGAGAGGGCAGAAUGACAAGUUUCCACACCAGAUCACGUCUGUACAUGAUUGGCUAAAAAUAGUCACAUCACUGUUCUCAACUUAAAAAAACUUUCACUAAAUUCCAGACAAAAAAAAAAAAAAGUGUAUCGGCCAAAAUCGAAAGGUAUGUGUUUGACCAGGAACCUGCAAUCAGUGCACUGCAAUUCAAAAACCAAAGUGGAGCUGUUACUGGUUCCGCUGGACCCUGUGGUAAUUAAACUGGGUCUGAAAUACCAAACCGGGCCCUGAAACCGCUUCUUAAAUAAAGGUGCAGAACCGUGGCUUUAGAGAAUCUGCGUCUGUUUUGGGUCAUUUGGUUAAAAUUUGCUUUCUCUUUGGUGAUCCCACUUUGAAACUUGUUAUGGCACGGAUAAAUCAGGGUAACAUCAAACUCAACUCCAUUCCCUUAAAAAACUAUUAUUAAAAGCCAGGAAAACAAACUUUUUAAAAAGCUCCAACAUUUCUGGUAAGAACAGCUAAACAUUCAGCCAGAACUAUGCCAGGACGGCAUCUUUACAACUUGCUAAAAGGCUUUUUGACAAAAAUAAUCACUUAGGUCAUUUAAGCCCAAUGAGGGUAUACUCUGUAAACUGACAGUAAAUCAAUGCAACAUUCAGCGGCAGCGUCUGACAAAAGAUUUAAGUGUAAAACAUCAUGACAAAGAUUGGGCUGGAUCUCUGUCGUGAACAAUAACUCAGGACAUCCUGUUAAAUCCGCUGUCCUUAAAAUCUUCCUGGGAUCGUCUCCUAGGGCGACAGACUCUCCUGACAAGCCUGAACCCGUCCGCCGUCUGUUAGUUUUCACAUAAAAACGAGGAGCUUUUUUUUUUUUUUCCUUCCUCCUCCUGUCUAGUACCUCAGAUUGCAGCCUGUGGGCAGAAAUCUCCCCAUAAACACUAUGAACCUCACAUCACUGCACUGGUUUGUACAUGGAAAUUAUCACCAGGCUUUUUAUUACGUUAAGCUGCAAACAAGCCUGUUUGCUAUUAAGGCCUGUUGUAGUAACAGACGAAACUUGCUGAAACUCUUUGUAUUUUAAGUUUAAUUGGAUUUUACACUCCAAAAAAAAAAAAAAAAACACACACACACAUUCUUACCAAGUAUUUUUAAUUUAGCUUCUAGUGACAAUACUUGAAAUGAGACAAAGCUAAACUAAUAACAUUGGAAAAUGUCUUAUUAGAAGUGCCAUUGGAACCAGCACAUUUUCAUCAAUGUUAAGGAAUUAACAAGCCCCCGUAUCUUGCUGAAAAGUUGUUUGUAAGUUAUUUUUGUCUUAGCUCAAGUGAACGAACAUAUUUUCACUAGAAACUAGACCAAAAAAUACUUUUUUUGUUUUCACGAAGCUUUACACCGCAGCCAUGAAACAGAAGCUUUACAUCUUCAUGUAGGUAGAUUUAUUACCAAAUGUGAAAUGUAUUGCUACGUUCAGUCAGCCUUCACACAACACUUUGUCCACAGCGGCUUCCUGAAUGAAAGGUUUCAGUUUUAGCUCUAAUCAGCAGUUCUUGCUCUCCGCCAGAACAGCAAGCAGCAUGAAGGAGGUCGGGGCUCUCGGCUAAGCGGCCCAGUCGUGCAAACAUUUGCUCACAGAAGCACAACCUGCACAUCCUGGCUCUCCUUUUAAGGCCGCUCCUCUUAGAGGGAAUCUCGGACCGAGCCAAGUUUUCCUUGUGAUGUUUGGACAAAGGAAAGCUGGAGGCAGCCCUCCAUGUGGGAUGCGAGCCUCCGAGCCGUGAAAGAGGUUACGAGUUUUGAGACUUCGGUUUUUAUCUGCACUUUAUGUAAGGACAUGUCUGCGAUAGCUUUUAAUCUCUCUUAAUUUCCUUUAAUUUUAAGGCACAAGCCUCUAAAAUCCCAGUUACAAACUUUUUUUGUCUUUCUUUUCUCAACCAAAUCAGCUUUAUUUUUUACACUUUGCAUGCUGCUGUAAUUGCUGCCUUUUACUUUUUUUUUCAAUGCAUACAUUUCACACACACAAAAAGCAAAUUGGUUUAUUUUUUUUAGUUCUAAAUUUGAACAAAUACCAUUUUACGGGGCUUUACAACAUAUAGAGGUCCAAUUUAGAGCAACUUACGUGUUAUAUAUAAUCCAUAUUCAGUUCAAAUAAAUCCAGAUCGUUCCAGUGCAGUCUAAACAUAUUCACAUUCUAGAUCCAGUCCACUUUCAUUCCUUCCUAAAUAUACAGCUCAUAUAAUGCCAGCUGGUAUUACAUUGAGUUAUUGAUUUUUACAGCAAUCCCUUAUAUUAAGCAAAUAUCGUUUCAUACAUUCAAACAGCUUGUAAAUAAAUGGUCUUCUUCCAUUCUCCUCAUUCUUUAUUUAUAUUUUUACUAUUUUAUAGAUUUAAAAAAAAUCUCUCUGUAUUGUAUCUCAGUAGUAAGGAUGUAACAUGUUAGUGGUGCAGAUAUCGACAUGUGUUCAUGGCUAACGUUUCCAUGCUACAGUUCUUUAACGUUGUAAAACGUUGUUCUUUAACGUUUUAAAGAACAACGUUUUACAACGUUAAAGAACGUUUUACAAACGUUAAAGAACGUUUUACAAAACGUUCUUUAACGUUUGUAAAACGUUCGUUACACAUUCGUGUAACAUGAAUCCUGCCUCGUACGUUAUGAUUUUUAAUUAGCUUUGCUAAGCUAGCGAGGCGAGAGGAGUAAAGCAGCUGGACACGUUCAGCAAUCAGCCAAUCAGAAAAAAUGAAGAUGGCAAAUAACAUUUGAAUGGAUUACUGUAACUUAUAUUUUACAAUAAUGAUUGAAAAACAAAAUUUGAUUAAAAAAAAUGUAUAUAUAUAUCAAAAAAAAUUCUGAUAAGCAAAAAAAGUUUUUAUUUUUAUAUAUAAUUUACUAGUCGUUUUCUGAGGCCCCUCUUUGAAAGGCAAUGCUCUAGAUUACACUUUUUUUCUCUGUUUAUUUAUUUUUUUAGUUUUAAUAUAACACAAACCGAGAGUCGUCCUGAUUCCAUCAAUUUCGGAGCGCUUGCUGAUUAAUCGCUCGAUUUCCCCGAAGCGAUUCCCCUGGUAAUUCUCUGUGGGCGGUUCGGAUUAAUUUAUCGCAGCCAAACGUCAAAAGAAAACA